RNAcentral lists this long non-coding RNA (1380 nucleotides) under Homo sapiens (human). Its description in RNAcentral is "uncharacterized LOC440742, transcript variant 3 (LOC440742)". Lineage: Eukaryota; Metazoa; Chordata; Mammalia; Primates; Hominidae. The record is from RNAcentral.
GGCACUGCUCCUUGCAGCUAGUCACUGCAGGGUUGUCAGAGCUGUUGCUGGACGUGCAGAAGGGAGAGAUGAAACAUGGACCGAGGGCGGCAGCCAAACGGGAUCCUCAAAACUUGUUUGCUGCUGAAAUGGGAGAAUUGAAUAUUUUUCCACUUAAUCUAAAAAUUGGCCUUGGUUUCUUGGAAUGUUUCUCACCUCCUCUCAGCAUCAUCUACUGGAAAGAAGGCUCAAGAGAAAGUUGGGGAAGAUCUAUCAAUGAAACACCCGAGGAAACCCACCCUGAUACCUUCAUUUCUCCAUUUGUAAGACCAGCAUAUUCAUACCCGUGUCACCUUUUUCUUUAGAAUAACAUGAAAAUGAAUAUGCAAAAGCAUUAAGCUUUCAGAGGAAAGAUGCUAUGCAAAUUUGAGGUGACCUCACUAUUACAAUAAUAAUUUUUUUUUGCACUAAGACGAAAUUUUUCCUUAUCCUAAAGCCUUCCUACCAAGGUAGACUUUUUUCAAUGUGGGUUUUUGUGAUUUAAAUUCACCAAGCACUGAUAGUUUCAAGUUUAUUUCAGUAUUAAGCAGGAAAGCAGUUUCUGCAUGAAAUGUGAAAACUAAAAUACCAUAGUAAUGAAAAAGAUUCCGCAUCCUCAGGUGCAGCCCACGUUGUGGUGUAAUGCAAAUCUAUGGCUAUACUGUAUCACAGCGAAUAAAUCCAUUUGGAGAAAAAGGCACCUGGUGAAAGGCCACAGUGCAAUGGAAUGCAAUGCUGCUAUGUGCAAUGCUGCUUACAAGAAAACUUUGGCAAAUGACCAGUGGAGGCAACCAGCGGACGGAGGAAAAGGGCAGGUCCCUGCAUCCAUCUCAGCGCCCUGCAGCCGGCGGCCUGUCCUUUCAGGCGGGAGUUCCCAGCGGCGUUCCUAGGUGUUUUGAAUGUGUGCCCCGGGGCUGGGGGAAGCCUCGUGCAGUUCUGCUGCUGUGGGAGGCAGGGGGGACUGGAGGGGACGGGAGCAGUGUGAGGCUUUCAUGUGCAGAGGGGACAUGAGGACAUCUGGAUGGCAUCCCUGUGAGCAGGGCUCCCGCUGCAGGCCUUUGAAAACCCCGCUGCCCUGGCUCCCCAGUGCCUUGGAACUUUCUCCCUGGAGAAUGCAGAAAAGCCAGUGCCCUUGAUUUCUUAGACAUCUACAGCUUCGACACGUGCAGGGUUAUCCAGGAGCAGUGAGGUUUGGGGUGAGGGCCUGAGCACUUUCUGAAAAGUGCUUGUUUCUAAGAACCUGGAACUAUGAGUGAGGAGUGACAUGAGUUCUGCCCUCAAGUCCUCUGAUAACCAGCUGUGCAGUCUUGAACAAGUGACUUCAUCUCUUCAUCUUUAAAAUAAACCUUUUGGGCCAAAUGA